This 261-nucleotide ribosomal RNA is filed under the name uncultured bacterium. RNAcentral's name for it is "partial 16S ribosomal RNA". It matches the Rfam family "Bacterial small subunit ribosomal RNA", at positions 333 to 596 of the family's 1533-position model. The record is from RNAcentral.
AGCUACCUACGGGGGGCAGCAGUGGGGAAUAUUGCACAAUGGGGGAAACCCUGAUGCAGCGACGCCGCGUGAGUGAAGAAGUAUCUCGGUACGUAAACCUCUAUCAGCAGGGAAGAAAAAAAGUCUUUGGCUUUGGACGGUACCUGACUAAGAAGCCCCGGCUAACUACGUGCCAGCAGCCGCGGUAAUACGUAGGGGGCUAGCGUUAUCCGGAUUUAUUGGGUUUAAAGGGUGCGCAGGCGGAAGAUCAAGUCAGCGGUA